GAUGAACGCUGGCGGCGUGCCUAAUACAUGCAAGUCGAGCGAACAGACGAGGAGCUUGCUCCUCUGACGUUAGCGUCGGACGGGUGAGUAACACGUGGAUAACCUACCUAUAAGACUGGGAUAACUUCGGGAAACCGGAGCUAAUACCGGAUAAUAUAUUGAACCGCAUGGUUCAAUAGUUAAAGACGGUUUUGCUGUCACUUAUAGAUGGAUCCGCGCCGCAUUAGCUAGUUGGUAAGGUAACGGCUUACCAAGGCAACGAUGCGUAGCCGACCUGAGAGGGUGAUCGGCCACACUGGAACUGAGACACGGUCCAGACUCCUACGGGAGGCAGCAGUAGGGAAUCUUCCGCAAUGGGCGAAAGCCUGACGGAGCAACGCCGCGUGAGUGAUGAAGGUCUUCGGAUCGUAAAACUCUGUUAUUAGGGAAGAACAAAUGUGUAAGUAACUAUGCACGUCUUGACGGUACCUAAUCAGAAAGCCACGGCUAACUACGUG
RNAcentral lists this ribosomal RNA (497 nucleotides) under uncultured bacterium. Its description in RNAcentral is "partial 16S ribosomal RNA". It matches the Rfam family "Bacterial small subunit ribosomal RNA", at positions 28 to 507 of the family's 1533-position model. The record is from RNAcentral.